This 534-nucleotide ribosomal RNA is filed under the name Triticum aestivum (bread wheat). RNAcentral's name for it is "partial small subunit ribosomal RNA". Lineage: Eukaryota; Viridiplantae; Streptophyta; Magnoliopsida; Poales; Poaceae. The record is from RNAcentral.
AUGCGCACCCCCCAGAAAAUCAAGGGAAGUGCGGCUAGACCUCAUGCAAAAGUCUGGUUACCACCCCCCGGCGAUGUAGCAAAGAUUAACUGUGAUGGUGGCCUAUCAACUUUGGGGGAAAAGGGAGCAGCUGGAGCUGUAUGUCGGGAUAAAAAUGGGAAAUACUUAGGUGCGUCGGCGGUGGUGUACGACGGCCUCACUGACCCGGCAAGCUUGGAGGCUCAAGCAUGCAGCGAGGCACUAGCCCUCGCACGGGAUCUGAACCUACAGGAGCUUGUGAUUGCCUCAGACUAUGCCGAAGUAAUAUCUAACAUCGGCAACGCAGGGUCGCCAUCUUAUGCUCCCAUUCUGAGGGAAAUUCAAACUAGUAGGGCAAACUUUACCUCUGUUUCUUUCCGUUUUGAAAGUAGAGUUAAUAAUUUUGAGGCCCAUUCGCUUGCUAAGGGAGCUGCGUCUCUCGCGGUGGGUCGCCAUGUGUGGCUAGGGGUUCUCCGAGAUAUUGCUUGUAUUCCGGAUGUUUUGAACUUUGAAUAA